AACGAACGCUGGCGGCAGGCCUAAUACAUGCAAGUUGAACGAUCUCUUCGGAGAGAGUAGCGCACGGGAGAGUAACACGUGGGAACUUACCUAUCAGUACGGAACAACCAUUGGAAACGAUGGCUAAUACCGUAUGGUCCCUCCGGGGUAAAGAUUUAUCGCUGAUAGAUAGGCCCGCGCUAGAUUAGUUUGUUGGUGGGGUAACGGCCUACCAAGACUACGAUCUAUAGCUGGUUUGAGAGAACGAUCAGCCUCACUGGGACUGAGACACGGCCCAG
RNAcentral lists this ribosomal RNA (278 nucleotides) under uncultured bacterium. RNAcentral describes it as "partial 16S ribosomal RNA". It matches the Rfam family "Bacterial small subunit ribosomal RNA", at positions 29 to 334 of the family's 1533-position model. The record is from RNAcentral.